RNAcentral lists this long non-coding RNA (4401 nucleotides) under Podarcis lilfordi (Lilford's wall lizard). Lineage: Eukaryota; Metazoa; Chordata; Lepidosauria; Squamata; Lacertidae. The record is from RNAcentral.
GUAUCCCAACAACAGGUUUCGGGCCCAGAUUCACAGCACUUACAGGAGAGUAAGACUGCGACAGACUGCUGAAAGGUAUGUGGAGGAAAAGCGAAAGUAAGGCUUUUCUGUUUGCCGCGGCAAGAGCUUUGAUGUCCGGCUGGCAGAUUAAUGGAUCUGGGAGCCGCGCCAAAGGCCUCAAGAUUUAUGAGCUGCCGAGAUAAGACGUCUCUGAAGUGAAUAAGAUUCACGGCUCAAGUAGAAACCUGGAAUGGAGUUUUUCCAGGCUUCUGAGGCUGCUGCGUGCCCAAAGUUAAAUCGGCACAACUAUCAGACCUGGGCAAAAUGGUGUGAGAGUUUGCUGCGUCAGUUUGGAGUGUGGCAUACUGUGUCUGAGGCCCCUCCAGUUCCUCUGACAGAUAGAUGGAAGGCCGAAGAUUCGAAGGCCGUUGACGUAAUCGUCUUGUCCGUCUCUCUGGAGGAAAUAAAGACGCUAGCUGGCAAUCUGACUGCACGAAAGAUGUGGCAUGCUUUGAAGAUAGCCCAUCAGCCAGUCAUCCCAGCCCAGAGUUUGACUGCAUCGGAGGUCCUGGCUGUUUCCCAGAAUGCGAGUGAAUGCAGGGAUGCUGAGGGCACCGGUUGCAAGCUGCAGGGGGGAGCUGACUGUCACGUCAUCCCAGGCAGCAUUCCAGCCUCCAGGGGGAGCCAAGGAGUCGGCAGCUGAGAGCUCUGUUUCUCAUGGGAACCAAGGUCAUCGCCUUUGCAGAGGCCGGAAGGGCAAAGGUAAACAGAGGCAGACGCCUGCAGAUGGCCAGAAGCAGAGGGAGGGUGAAGAGCCCACGCCAGAUGAAAACAAAGUUUUGUUUGCUGGCACAGCCUCACCAAAGGCUAAAGGCAAGUCUGAUGGCCAGGAGCAGGGGGGCAAGCUGCAAAAGCCCACGCUGGUGGAAAACAAGGUUUUGCUUGCUGCAAAGGCUGCUCCAAAAGCCAAGGCCAGGUUUGUUGUUGAUUCAGGCUGUACCCGCCAUAUCUCAAAGGACCGCCACCUAUUUAUCUCCUUCAGACCUCAAGAAGGUGAGAUCCACCUGGCUGACGGAAAGACGUUGCGAAUUGCAGGAGAAGGGACUGUGAAACUGGCAAGUCUGCACACUACCAUCAAAGAUGUACUAUAUGUUCCAGGCGCUGCAGACAAUUUGCUCAGUGUCCCACAGCUGACUGGGCGUGGUUUUGAGAUUUCCUUCAAGAGGAGCGUCUGUGUCAUCAGAAAAGGCAAAGAGGACAUUUUGCAUGCAAAGUUUAUGGAUGGCUUGUUCUGUAUAACUUAUGACGACAAUGGUGCUGUUGUGUCUAAUGCUGAUUCUUGUUGUGUUGCACAAACUAACAAAGUUCUUCAUGCAGGAUGCAUUCAUGAUGCACACAGAAGAUUUUGUCACAUGUCUUGGCAGGCGCUGGCCAAGAUGCCAGAGAUGGUUGAGGGUUUGAACAUCAAACCCUGUAAGUUUCACAUGAAAUGUGUAUCUUGUGCAGAGAACAAGGUGAAGGUUGCUCCAAAAGGCAAGGAGUCUAGCAGGCAGGCUUCCAAACCCUACCAGCUAGUGCACGCAGACCUGGUUGGUCCACUUGCGCCCUCUUUGGGUGGAGCAAGGUACUUCAUGGUUCUAAUUGAUUCUUUUUCCAGGUACAUUCAUGUGUUUAUGCUCGAGCAGAAAUCGCAAGCGUUUCCUAAGUUCAAGGCAUUCUGUGCUUGGUUGGACAAUGUUCAUGGUAAACGCAUUGGCUGUUUGUUUACUAAUCGAGAGGCUGAAUUCACUUCUCGGCAGUUUGAAGCUUUCCUGACUGAGAAGGGAAUCCAGCAUAGCCUCUCAAGUCCUGGAUCUCCAUGGGAGAUUUGUGAGCAAGCAAAGCAAAUGUUGCUGCAAGGACUGAAAACAUUGUUGCAUGAUGCCAAUCUCCCUGAGAAGUUUUGGGGGGAGUCUUUGAACUCGUAUGUUUACACUUAUAAUCGCAGAUUGUCAUCACCUAUUGGUUGUACCCCCCUAUGAGAAGAUGUUUGGUAAGAAACCCAACAUCAAGCACAUGAGAAUCUUUGGUUCUGACAUGUGGGUACACACCCCACAGAGCAACAAGCUUGGGAAGCGUGGGGCACAUGGUUUGUUCAUGGGGUACGAAAAGGUGCAUACAGGGUGUGGAUGACCAACUCUAAGUCCAUUAAGUUCACAAAGAGUGUUGAGUACAAUCCUAAGUGGGGGGAAAAUGUGGGAAUUUUCCAGAGUUACCCAGAGGAGGAUGAAGGUGAUGUCAAAGAAGCAGCUAAAGCUGAGGAAGCUGCUGAGGAUGAUGAUGACGAUGAUGAUCAGAGUUCGGAUUCCAGUUCAGUGGGCGGCGCUGCUGCUGAUGUCGGUGACAGUGAUGACACAGCAGACUACAAGAGCGCAAAGGCCUCAGUCAGACCAUCUGAUGCGUCUGACAAUGAACUGGAAGAACCACUGUUCACCAUUGGUCACUUUUCUCCUAAGAAGGAGGAGAUGAGUCCAGAAGACUUGCGUCUAGUACGCAGAUCUGAGAGAGCCACGAAGGGCAGACCUCCAAAGAGAUUUGCUGAUGAGUUUGCUAAGACAGCAACUGCUGUUCUUAGUAGCUCAGAGAAGGUAUGGGAACCUUCAAGCUUCAAAGAGGUUCAGGAGUUAACCUCUAAAGAUGCUGAGCCUUGGCUUAAUGCCAUGAAGGCUGAAGUUGAUUCCUUGAACAGGAACCAAACUUGGGAACUGGUACCGGUAGUCCCAGGGAUGAGACUGGUUGGCAGCAAAUGGGUCUUCAAGGCCAAGACAGACCAGAAUGGCAAGGUUGUCAGACACAAAGCCAGAUUGGUUGCCAGAGGUUUUUCACAGGUACCAGGACAGGAUUACCACGAGACCUAUUCACCCACAGUCAAAUAUGAGAGCAUUCGGCUGAUGCUCAAGAUCGCUGCGGAGGAGAAACUGCAUGUUUCCCAUCAUGACAUUAAUACAGCUUUUUUGUACGGGAUUUUGGAGGAGGAGCUGUUUAUGCUUCCACCUGACGGGAUGCAGAUACAGAAGGGAAUGGUCUGUAAACUGCGGAAAUCCUUAUAUGGUCUCAAGCAGAGUGCCAGGUGUUGGAACACAAAGCUCACUGAGACAUUGCUUUCUCUAGGUUUUCACCAGGGCAAAGCUGAUCCAUGUGUGUUUGUCAAGGAGGAAGGGCAAAACAAACUGUAUUGUUUAUGUUUUGUUGAUGAUCUUCUGAUGUUUUGGAAGAAUCAGGCUUUCUACCAAAGCACCCUAGCUCAGCUGAAGGAGCACUUUGACAUGAAGGAUCUUGGUGAGGUAUCCAACUAUCUUUCUCUGCAGGUGGAGAAGGACCAAGCAGGUAAUUUUCUGGUACACCAAACACAGAAAAUUGCUGAUGUAUUAACCAGGUUGAAUUUGGUUGAUGCAAACCCAGCAGACACACCGAUGGUGACAGGUUACCAGGUAGAUAGUACUGCUGAAGCGUUUUCUGACACAACGCUGUACAGAUGCAUUCUAGGCAAGUUGAAUUUCAUUGCUAGAUGCUCAAGACCUGACAUAGCUGUAAGCUGUAACCUGCUUAGCAGACAUGCCAACAAUCCUACUGUUCAGGAUUGGAAAGCUCUGAAGCGCAUAGCCCGCUAUUUGAAAGGGACUAUGCACUACAGGCUGAGGUUCACCAGUCAGAAGACUGGAGGUCUUGAAAUCUUUGCAGAUGCAAGUUUUGGAAGUGACACCACGGAUGGUACAAGCACUUCUGGAGUAUGCUACAUGUACAACCACUGUCUGUUUGACUGGUUGUGCAAGAAGCAGACGACAGUGAGCCUAAGUUCCUGUGAAGCAGAACUCAAUGCUCUGUCAUUUUCACUCAUGGAUUGUGAAUGGUUGAUGCAACUGUUUAAGGACAUCAGAGUUUCUGUGAAAUGUCCUGUACAAGUGUAUCAAGACAAUAGAUCUUGUUUGGCUUUGCUGAACUCAGAGAGUUGCAAGCAAAGGACCAAGUACUUGCAGAUUAAGCUACAUCGUGCAAGAGAGUGUAUUCAGAAAGGACUCAUUCAGGUGUCCUACAUGCCAGGAAAUGAAAUUCCUGCUGAUCUGUUGUCUAAGGUUGUUAACAGAGAACAACUUAAGGUUUACGUACAAAGGUUGCAAUUGGGUUGAACCACAGGUACUACAGGUUACACGGAAAGGGGAGGAUGUUAGGAUAUUUCCGUUCCACCUUAAAAGGGAGCAGGCUUUGUGAGUCAGAGUCUGCGUAUUUCCUGUUCACAGGAUGUUUAUGUUUUCUGUUGCUUUCGUUUUCUCUCUGGUGUCGCAGACACUAAAGCAGGCAGUCAUGUUUUUCUGUGUUCUGAUCAACGCUGAAUAAACUUGUAAAUAAUGCUCUCCUGACUGC